Molecule: transfer RNA, 77 nt
Filed under: Actinomycetes bacterium
Lineage: Bacteria; Bacillati; Actinomycetota; Actinomycetes
Description: Actinobacteria bacterium tRNA-Ile
Rfam family: tRNA
About the family: Transfer RNA (tRNA) molecules are approximately 80 nucleotides in length. Their secondary structure includes four short double-helical elements and three loops (D, anti-codon, and T loops). Further hydrogen bonds mediate the characteristic L-shaped molecular structure. tRNAs have two regions of fundamental functional importance: the anti-codon, which is responsible for specific mRNA codon recognition, and the 3' end, to which the tRNAs corresponding amino acid is attached (by aminoacyl-tRNA synthetases). tRNAs cope with the degeneracy of the genetic code in two manners: having more than one tRNA (with a specific anti-codon) for a particular amino acid; and 'wobble' base-pairing, i.e. permitting non-standard base-pairing at the 3rd anti-codon position.
Source: RNAcentral
GGGCUCGUAGCUCAGUUGGUUAGAGCGCACGGCUGAUAACCGUGAGGUCCCGCGUUCGAAUCGCGGCGGGCCCACCA